UGGGGAAUAUUGCACAAUGGGCGCAAGCCUGAUGCAGCCAUGCCGCGUGUGUGAAGAAGGCCUUCGGGUUGUAAAGCACUUUCAGCGAGGAGGAAGGUGGUGAACUUAAUACGUUCAUCAAUUGACGUUACUCGCAGAAGAAGCACCGGCUAACUCCGUGCCAGCAGCCGCGGUAAUACGGAGGGUGCAAGCGUUAAUCGGAAUUACUGGGCGUAAAGCGCACGCAGGCGGUUUGUUAAGUCAGAUGUGAAAUCCCCGGGCUCAACCUGGGAACUGCAUUUGAAACUGGCAAGCUAGAGUCUCGUAGAGGGGGGUAGAAUUCCAGGUGUAGCGGUGAAAUGCGUAGAGAUCUGGAGGAAUACCGGUGGCGAAGGCGGCCCCCCUGGACGAAGACUGACGCUCAGGUGCGAAAGCGUGGGGCAGCAAACAGGAUUAGAUACCCUGGUAGUCCACGCUGUAAACGAUGUCGAUUUGGAGGUUGUGCCCUUGAGGCGUGGCUUCCGGAGCUAACGCGUUAAAGUCGACCGCCUGGGGGAG
This 537-nucleotide ribosomal RNA is filed under the name uncultured bacterium. RNAcentral describes it as "partial 16S ribosomal RNA". It matches the Rfam family "Bacterial small subunit ribosomal RNA", at positions 355 to 881 of the family's 1533-position model. The record is from RNAcentral.